RNAcentral lists this long non-coding RNA (19194 nucleotides) under Musa acuminata (dwarf banana). Its description in RNAcentral is "long non-coding RNA (MACU_LNC003588)". Lineage: Eukaryota; Viridiplantae; Streptophyta; Magnoliopsida; Zingiberales; Musaceae. The record is from RNAcentral.
CGCACAAGAUUAAGCACCUCCUCUUCCCGGAUAAAGCGAAAAGAUUGGACUCGCUUGGCACUCAAUAGCUCCACGAUGCUCAUCUUGCGCAGCUCCCUCCAGUGGAAUCCAUACGAGGUAAAGCCGACGCCCCUGUCACCGUAUGUGGCGGUCUGGAGAGUCAGGUUGGUGGGCCGAGAGGCGAAGCUGAUGUCGUGGGUUUUCAUGAUCUCAGCAGCCGCUUCGACAGAUGAGACAACGAGGGUGGGGAGCUCACCAAGCUUCAGGAGUAUGACGGGGCCAAAUUUCUUAGAUAAGGCAGUGAGGGAAUGAUGCGGCAGGGCAUUGAAGAGAUGGUGUAAGCUGCCUAUGAUAGGGAGCUUAGAUGGACCGGGAGGCAGUGUGGCACGAGCUCCUCGACUGGACCUGUUCUUCUUGAGAAGCAGGAGCGAUACGAGGAGGACGAGAAAGGAGAAGAGGAAGGCUGUAUUGGUGAGAUCCAUGCUUAAUUAGUUUUCUGGUAAUGAGACACCACAGGCCCCUCCACCCUUCUUAUACACAUGACAGUUAUGAGUUUCGCGUGCAGUUUCCCGAUUGCGUAAUGACAGACGUUAUCGUAUCAUCACAGAGUUGAAUUAGAAUAGUUGACACAUGGCAUUAAACCGGGGUGGAAAUCGACUCACCAUGUUUUGUGACUGGUUCAUCUGGAACAAAGUCGAUGGUACAACAAAAAAAAUAAUGGGAUCACAAUGGUGGCGGUCAGAUUCUGCAGCUACUUUAGAAUGAGAACAAACUAUAAAAUACGAUAAAUAAUUGUUAUAUAUAUUAUUUUUUCUAGAAUCUCUACCUACGCCAACUUUCAGUUUGUAGUCGAUUGUUUCGCCACAAGCAAUCCGCCAUGGACGUGUUCCUACUCCGAGCGUGUUAGUUUCAUUCAUCAUCUUUUUUUAGCAAGUUUCGUAACGCAAUUGUUUCGUUGCAUGUGUAACUUAUAUACGUGACUGUGCUUAGUUUUUGUAUAUGGCGUCGAUGUGUUUUUUUAGCGUUUAAAGGUACAAAUAACUUUCAUUUAAAUCAGAAACACACAGCAAGUGGGUUGGACGACAUGCCUAAGUUAUCCUGUUUACCAAAAAAGAAAGUUAACCAGUGAGCUUUGCAAUUAGAGGUUCUUGGUACGAAACUUAGGACAAAAGACUGUAGAGUGGCCAUCAAAGCUUGAUAUCAGAGAUGAUGGCUCUAAGGUACGAUGGGAUUUCCUCGGAGCCAUUGAUGACGGAGAUGAGGGACUGUGAAUUAGAUUAAAUCCGCAAGUUGAUCGAUCCAAUGUAGAUCCUCCGCAUGUUUGAGCGCUUCCAGGACAGCAAACGCUUCCGCCAUCAAAUGGUUAUGUGCGUUGCAAGAAGAGCAGCCCGCGGUCAUCGUCGUAGUAUAGGAAGGGUAAAGGAAGCAGAAUCCUGUACCUGCAGUUUGAACAUUGAAGGAUGCAGCCAAAAAAGGGAUCCAGGGUAAACGACUGACGUGAUCUUAUCUUCAAAGUUAAUUUGGAAUAAAGCUAUCACUUGUUACGUUAAUUUUGAAGAAUAUGCAAAUCUUUAGCAUCAUAUCACAAUGUUUUGACGAUGGUUCAUCUGGGACAACAUUUUCAUGCGGCACUUGAAGGAAAAGUCGAAAGUGUAAUCCCUCAUGCUCUCAGGAACUUUCUAACGAUGCAUCAGGGUCGGUCUAAAAAAUGUAAAGAAAUAUACAUUAAGAGUUUCCUGGUGACCCUCGUACGCUGCUUAUAUCAGAAGUUGCUUCACAAAGGUGACUAAAGCUUCACGAGCCUUAUGAAUGGAGAGCGGAAAAAAAGAUAAAAACAGAGUUUCUAGAUUACUACGGUUUGCCCUAUCUUUGUAACUAUGAGUUUUCGUGGUAUGCCAAGAAUAACAUCGCACCGUUGAAGAAGAUCAUCUAUAUCAUAUACGGUGGGAAAGAAUAUUCUCUAUUUUGGCACGUAUCAUGUCAUUUUGAUUUCGUGAAGUCAUGGCGAUGGAACGAGUCUAUCGCUAGAGGAUGAUGGUUCACCUUAUCUUUUGUCAUCUACAAACACUGACAUGAUUUGACAGUCUACUAGAGAUUAAAAUACAAUACCGUAGACCAGCAAACACGAACAGACGAUUCGCCGGCUUCCUAGGGAUUAAAAUACAAGAGCUUAGACCAGCAAGUAUGAACACAGACUUGCUAAGGUAUCAUAGUGUUUCUUGACCUGUUCCCUAUGUAGAGUGCACAUUUUGGCCGAAGGAGGGGUAUCGAUAUUUUCAAAGUUGAUAUAUUGACAUGGAUGUGGCUAUGUCUUCCGAUAUGAAAUGUCAAUAUGGGUUUGUUAAUAGAGCUAGAUGUCAAAAUAGUUUUCUAGGAGAGUAGAUGCGGUCAUAUGCUAGUAUUUGACCAGGGUGCAAUAUCCUCCCUAAUUACCAAGAAAUGUAGGUGUAUGAUUAAUCUAAAGUUGAAAUCGAUAUUAUAAGACUUAUUCAUAUCAGAGUUUUACUGGCAUAUCAGACAUUUUAGAAAAGUCAUACUACAACUUUGAUGUCGCGUCUAUGUGCAUAAAAGUCAGAUGCAUGUACGUUAUCUACAAUUGAUUCACUCUUAUAACGCAAUUUAUGUUUUGAUGUGAUAUGAUACUAACCUAAAAUUUGAUUAGCUCGCGAUUUGCAACUGGCAGCAGCGCAAACAUAAGCUGAUGUUUACGUAGUUGAUGAGUCGACGCCUUUGAAGUUUCAACAGCAUCCACGGUCAAGCUGACUGGGUGAUACUGAUGGUUAAGAAUUGCAGCUCCACAAAGCCACAAAGUUGACGGCAUCUGCUUGAUUAUGUCCACUCUUGGACAAAGUUUACCUUGGUGGUCAUAAUCUAUCAAAAAGAGUUGGAUCACAACAAUAGAUAGUUUUUAGUCAGAGUUGAUCGAGGAAAAUCCGACUUUGACAGAUGAUAGUGAUAAACCAUUGAUUUGGUUUGAAAUUUUCAUCCAUAAACGUCAAUAUUAUAAACCUGCAAGUCCUAAUCAUAAUGAAGUAUGCGUGCAACUGAGAAGCACUCGAGAUAUUAUUUAUGCAGAUGCCAUCUAUUUGAAGUUCAUAUUUGCAUAGGUUUAGUGCUAGGAAAAGUAUAUUUCAAUUUAUUUGCAUGCGUACGUCGACUAUUGGAGGUAGAAUUAGCUUCCUUCGUCAUAUACAUGACAGUGCUUAGUUUUGUAUAUAGCUUCCAUGUCACGUGGCGACUUCCAUGACAGUCUUCCUAAUCAAAUUGCGUUGAUUUAGAACUGCAUUACAAGUCUUUACACCACAGUGGCCAUUAGUUUAGUAUCAUAUCAAAUCACAAUGUAUUGGAACAGGUUUAUAUGUAUAUACAUACAUGGAAACACUCAAAGACACGGCCGGCCGUCUUCAGAGGCCAUCAGUUGUAUUAUUUCUUUGAGCAUGCGGUAAGAGGAAUUGCCAGUUGGAAGUCAAAUCAAGAAUCCCAGGUUUGGACUGUUGCCCUCGUUGAAUAGUGUUUUUAGAAAGGGCACCCACGAGUUCUGGGUGCAAACCAGUGGACCAUCUGCGUGCAUCUCUGACGCGCAACAAUGAAUGGACGAUUCUCAACCCUCAAUUAAUGCAAGCACUGAUUGGUGUAUCCAAAAGUUUUGUAAGACAGUGAUCACGUUGACAAUGCAACGUAUACCAAAAAUUUGCAAGACAGUGACGAGACAAUGGUUGACAAUGUAAUAGACGUUGGUCAAGUUUACGGUUCCCUCUGCGCAAAGCAAUCGUUCAUAUCCAUAUGUUUUUCUUACUUGUCUCUGUAUCAAAGAGCCAUAUGUUUUCUUACUUUUCUUAAAAUUGCGAACGGUUAUGAAUUUGACUGUGGUUUGCCCUCUCUUCUUAUCAUGUAGCUACGAGUUUUUGUGGCUGUCUUCCGAUCUGAAAUGACGGAGUGAGUUUCUCGAUAGAGCUAGAUGUCAAAAUAGCUUUCUAGGAGAGUAGAUGUGGUCAUAUGUUAGUAUUUGACCAGGGUGCAAUACCCUCCCAAAUUACCAAGAAGCGUAACUGCAUGAUUAAUUCAACGUUGAAAUCCAUAUAUAAGAAUUAUUCUAUCAGAGUUUUCCUCUAUAUCAGUCAUUUUAGGAAGAGUCAUACCAGUACACAGACGUCAGAUGCAUUGGCUCUAUCUACACUUGACUCAGUCAUACAUCCCUGUCUAUGUUCCGAUGUGAUGUGAUGCUAACCUAAAACGAAUCUGAUUAGCUCACGGUUUGCAACUUGCAGCAGCACAAACAUAAGCUAACGCGUUCCUAUGGUUGAUGAGUCGACGCCUUUCAAAUUUCGACUGUCAAGCUGACAGGGUGAUGGUCGAUGAUUAAGAUUUAUAGCUCCCUCUCCAUAAAGCCAUAAAGUCGACAGGAUCUACUUGACUAUGUCCAUUAGUCGUCAUAAUCCAUUAGCAAGAGUUGAAUCACAAGGGAUUUUAUGGUUUUAGGUCAGAGUUGAUCAAGGAAAACUCGACUUUGAAAUAUGAGAGUGAUAUGGUUUGGUUUGAAAUUUACAUUCAUAAUCUUCAAUAUUGUAAAUCUGCAAGUCCUAAAACACGGAUCACAGUGGCCAUUAGUUUAGUAUCAUAUCACGAUGUCUUGGGACAAAAUUUGUGUGGCGCGUAAAAGAAAAGUCGAAGGUGCAGACACUCAGAGACGCAUCCCGUGUUCAUAUCACGAUGUCUUUAAGCAUGUAGUAUGACGGAUGCAUACGAAGUUGACAUGUCGAAGUCAAAUUCUUAGAUCCAAGUUUAGACUGUUGAACUCGUUGAAUAGUUAUCUUAUAAUGGGCGCUGACGAAUUUUGGGUGCAACCCAAAAACAGCAAUAAUGAGGCACGCAGCAACGAAAGGCCAUUCUCAAUCGAUGCGAAAAACACAGCGGUGAAUCCCAUAAAUUCGUAAAACAGUGACGAAUGAACGGUUGACAAUAUAAGAGUUGAUUGAUAGUUACCUUUCUCGCUCUCUGGCGCACAAAUCAACAGUUCAUGUCGACACCUGCAAAAAUUUUUCUCUACUUGUUUCUGCAUGAGAACAAACGAUAGUGCAUCUAUCAACGUUUUAAGGGUAAUAUCGUGAUCCCAUAAUGUUUGAGGUCAGAGCUGACCCAAGAACUCUUGACUUUGUCGGAUGAUGAUGUCGUAUAUAUGGAUCGGUUCCGUAGAACCAUUUAGUUAAUGAACUGAUUACAGAAACGACAGUAAUAUAAAACAACCGUAGAGAAAGAUAAUUGAGAACAUCUAAUGCAUUUACUCUUUAACUCGUGCUUUUGUCUUCUUUUCAUCCUCCUCUUUGGAACUCUAAUGUCCUGUCCUGAUCAAUGUGGCUGUCGUUGGGAUUCCAUGACAUUAUCGCCAUGCUCGCAUGCAUCUUGUCCUCGUUGUCAUGGCCGUAAGUGAGAUUCGCCAUUGUUAUCAUAGAGUAAAUAGAAAAAAAUUUACUAUAAAAAUAAUGAAUAUAUAAAUAUGAAAUUUUUUUUUUCAAAACUUAAGUAACAAUCACAAGAAAAUAUUUGAGAUAUAAGGAUUAUAUCACUGUACACAAUAUCCAAAAUUUCUCCAAGUAAUAAUAAUAAGAAUAUAUAGACUGAUAUGAGAAUAAGAACACUAUCCGAAUAAUUAAGAACCGUCUCUAUAUUAUUCUUGUCUUUUUCUAUUUUUUCUCUUAUUUUCUGUCAUUUUCUCUUUUUUUUAAUCACGUUGCUGUUGUAGUUUUCUGUCCCUAAUUUUCUGCACCUUUUUUACGGCUAACACACCCCCUUAUUAGAUCUAUAUUUAGGUUAAUAAGGGAAGUGGGUUAUGGGUUGUUAAAGCCCACUAUAAGUUGAAUCAAUGAGUUGUCUAUCCAACAACCUCUCCCUUCAGCUCAUAAGGAAGGUUGUCCUAUGACUCCUCAAUAUGAAGUCAUACCGACUAGUUGUCGACAUAUCUCUUAUCUUUCUUUUGGUAAGGUCUUUGUUAAUAUGUCUGCUCCGUUGUCAUCUGUGUGAAUUUUCAGAAGUUACAAUUGUUUCUCUUCAAGUACAUUUUGAAUCCAGUGGUAUACAAUAUCUAUAUGUUUUGAUUUAGAAUGAAAAGUUUGGUUCUUACACAAAUGGAUGGUGAUCUGAUUGUCACAAUGCACCACAUAAUUUUUUUUUCAACCCUAAUUAUUGUAACAAUUAUUUUAUUCAUAAUAUUUCUUUGGAAACCUCUAUAGCAGCAAUAUAUUCUGCCUUUGUGGUAGAGAGAACAAUACAUCGUGGACUUCCUUGUAUCAAUAUAUUUUACCAUAUCUGUAUCUGUGUAACCUAUAAACACACGCGAUCUACCUCCAAAGCUUAAAUAAACUUUAAAAUUCUCUCUGAGAUAUCUAAAGAUCUAAUUCAUUGCUGUCCAAUGUUCUUUGCUUGGAUUUGUAAAAAAUUUACUCGUAACACCUACUACAUAUAUGAUAUCCGGCCUCUACAUACUAUAACGUAUAUUAAAUUUUCAAAUGCUGAAACAUACAAAACCUUUUAUAUUUUCUUCUUCUCCUCAUCAUUUGAUGGACUCUAAACCUUUUUCAAUACAUUCUUGAUAUAUUUCACUUGUGAUAACCAAAUCUUCUUGUUUUUUCUAUUAUGUAAAAUCUAUAGAGAAAUUUAGGAAUGACAUAAUAUGCACAGUGGAAGAACAGAAAAUAAAAACCUCAAAUUCCUAAAAUGGUGUUAAUCAUCGAGCGAAAAUUAUUAUAUAAAAAUCCGCAAAACUUAAAAUCACGCGUGAAAUAGUUGUGUUACCUCGGGAGAUCGUAUAUCCCUAAAUCCCUAUUAAUCUGUAGGAGAUGAUAAAAGAGAUCAAACGUCGCAUCCUCCUCUCUAACAAUGAUCCACACAUCAUGGUUAUGAUGAAUCGUUAUCCAAAACUUGACAUCUACUAUUUAAAGAGGAGAAUGAGAGAGGAGAAUAGGAGGUAGCAACUAAAAAAAAUAUCUAGCCUAUAGGUGUUUGAUACUCUUCUAUUUAUAGAGACUUUAUGUCAAUUUAACUCUAAUUGAUCUUGUUUUAUUGAGUAUUGGAUCUUCGUCCAACUACCCAAGCCUUUUAGAUUGAUGGAUCUCUAUCCAAUAAUCUCUCAUUGAUUUUUAUUAGAUUUCAGAAUCUAAUAAUUAAGAACCUCAUAUCUCAUCAUGAAUCUCUAUCCAAUAAUCUCUCGUUAGUUUUACAUAUAUCAAUUUCUACGUCCACCUCACACAGUCACACCUUUCGUUAGGAUUUCAAUGUAUGUCAUUACCGCAUUACUCGCAUACAUCUUGUCCUGGUGAUCACGGCCGCCACUGCUACCAUGCUCGCAUGCCGUUGACGAAGUCGCUUCACAGUAAAUCCUCUCUCCUCCUCUCUCAGAACUUUGCAUUAUCCGUGAAACUUCAAAACCAUCACCCUUGUUUUUUUUGCUUUGUUGUUAUCUUUACGAUCUAAAAUAUUCCUUUUAAUUUCUUCUGCUUUAUGGUUUCUACUGUGUGUUUACUAGGGCUUUUCUUCAUAUAAAUAAAUUCACAGAAGUUGGAGUGAAAGGCAAUCGAUUGGUGAGAGGCCAAACUUUCGUGUUAUAUCUUUUUACUUCUUCAUCAUAUUGUAAUGUUUUAGAUUCUACAAGAUGGUUAGCAUAUACUGAUUAAGAUUCAGUGACCGUUAGGAUUAACCCUGUGACAUGAUAGUCAAGUUGAAUCUUUAUUUUGAUGUCAGUUGUAGAAUAACAUGCUUUUUACUUUUAGAUCGUCCUAUUAUGGACAUAUCAAAGGUAAGCAAGAAGGGAGCUACACCAUAAAGUGAUUUAGUUUCCUAAGUGUCAGUUUAUGAGAUAAGGGUGAUAUACUGAUUAACCCUAUGGCAUGAUAGUUAAGCUGAAUCUUUAUAUUGAUGGUUAGGAUAUACUGUGAUAUCCAGGAAGACUAUAUUGAUAAUUAAGUUGAAUCUUUAUAUUAAGGUGAUAUCCAAGAAUGUUCUAAAUAUAGAUGAAUUAAGCUUUGGAAAGAGUGAUUAAAGGUCAACUAAGAUGUGCAACAAAUAUCCCUAAAGAUUAAUUUGAUUUUGUACCUUGAUGAACAACAAUUGGAGCUAUUUAUUUAUUAAAAUAAUUAAUAUAAAAAUAAAUAAAGAAAAGAAAAAAGAUUUGUAUAUGAUUUUUAUCGAUUUGGAGAAGUAUUAUGAUAACGUUUCUAUACAUUUAUUAUGGCAAGUUUUAGAAUAAUAAUAUUUAUUUAUAAAUUAUAUCAAUAUUGAUAUAUAUUUUAGUAUAGUUACUAGUGUUAAAAUUACAGACGAUUCACAUUACAUCAUUAGCUAUUCACUUUGGGAAUGGAUGAACUAUCUGAUCAUAUUCAACCUUCUUAGUCUAUUCUAUUUGUUAAUGAUAUUAUUUCAGUUGGUGAGACUUUAAGUCAAAUUACGUAUAAGCUUAAAAAUUAAAAAUUUUAAAUUUGGGUAGGACUAACAUUCGAUAUAUAUAAUGUAAUUAUAGUAACACUAGAGUAGAUCUAAAGAUAUAGUUAAUUUGGGUGGACAUCAAAAUCUAUUAAUUAUAAUUUUAUAUAUCUUGAAUCCAUUAUUCAACAAGAUAGGAAUAUCAAGAAUUUUGUAUGAUCAUCAGAUAUCUCUUAGAUUAAAAAAAAGUAAGAUUAUUGUUAGAAUAAUAAUAUUAUAUAAAUCUGAGUGUUGAUCAGUUAAUAAAUAAUGUAUGUAAAAAAAAUUAUUAUAUAUCACUAAGAUAAAAAUAUUAAAAUGGAUAUAUCGAGUUACCGUUAAAAACAUAUACUAUUAACUAUAAAAUUUAUGCUACAAACAUUUCACUAAAGAGUAUUUAUUGAUAAACUUGUCAUUGAAAAAAGUUUCAAUGAUAAAACUAAUUUGUCAUUAAGAUGUCAUCACUAAGUGUUUCUAAUUUAUAAAUUCGUCACGAUAUUGUUACUGUCAUAAAUAUUUUUUUUUAUUUUUUGACGAUAAUUUUAUGAUUGUAACAAAUGUUAAUUUAUUCGGCAAAUAUUAUCUUUAUUGUUACUAAACUAUUAACACAGAAAGAUCAUAUAUUGUCACUGAUACUUAUUAUGUAAUUUUUGAAUUUAAAGGAUUCUAUACAUUAAUUUUAUGAGGGAUGCACGAUCUGGACCGUAGGAUAGUCUGUGUUUUUUGGGACCUUCGGAUUGCUCGAUCCCACGAUCAAGAUUAAAAAGACAAAGAAUACCCUAAAUGCUUAGACUCGCGCUCUGCUGCCAGAGGCGGAUCCCGUUACCAACGGCCGAUUCCAUCUUUUGGAGAAGCGAAACCCGAUGUCACCGUCGGCGAGACCUCAGUCUCUUCGUCUUAUGGAAGAGCGACCGAGCCUCGCUGUUGCUACCGCUGCUGGCCGAGGGGCAUCCCCGGUUUAGGUUGAGUUCGUCAUCGACUACCUUACCACUUCUUCUUCCGCCCUUGCGAUCGAUGCACAUCCAUCACGUAGCUACUGACGAAGUAAGCUAUUUCCCUUAGCAUUUGCAUUGUUGUUUUAUCCUUUUCAACAAGUUGUGUGCUCUGGACGGCAUUUCUCUUGUUCUUAGUCAAUUGGUUGAGGUUGAAUCGACCCUUCCAUUGAUAGAAUUUGUUGGAAACAUCAAGACUAUGCGUCUGAUGGCAAUGAGGAAGAUCGGUUUUUACUCAAAACGACCCCUAUUCUGUGACUAAAAUUUUGCCUUAUAAUAUUUUGUAAGAAAGUGAUAUUACAAAUCAACACUCUUUUUUCUUUUGAGAUUGAAACUUAUAAUCUUAUCAAGUAAAUAUGAGUUAGUACCAAAAUUUAGGGCUAAAGAGAGGGCAUCACCAAGAUUGCUGGAAUCUUAAAUAACUUACAAGUGGAAGAGCCAGCAAUGCGACUGAUGUGAUCAUGCAUCAUGUCUUAGUAUCUUUUGUCAAAAUUAUCUUUCCAAUUUGUAAUAUUGAUGGUAACAACUUUGUUAUGGUUCUCCAGAUGGUCAUUCCUCAGAUAAAUGUGUUGGACCAGGAGGUACUUUUCUUUCACAUUUUAGAUUAUUGAUUUGUCUAUAACAUUAUGUAGAUGAUUGAAAAGUUUUCACCGAUGUGUUUGAUAGGCUUAUCUAAUUUAAUUCACUCACUUGAUUUUUGAAGUGGACAAUAAAAUGUGGUAAAUACUUGGUAUUUAUGAUUUGCUAAACAUCUUAACCUGAUAAUGAUGAUGAUGAUAUCGAAUAUAAAGAAUCAUUACCAUUGAUAUACUUGCAUAGUAACAAAUUUCAGCUGUUAAAUAGUUUUAGACUGGUUACUUUUUACUAAACAAAGCAGAAGUCCAAUUUUGUUCUUGUUGCAUGUGAUGGUUUGACCUAAUCUUAAGCAAAGAUUACAUAUAUUAAAACUUGGAACUCACACUUUAGCUCUUUGGUCUGUUUAUUUUAAGAUAUUAAUAUAUUAUAUAAUAUUGAAUUAAAGCUUGUUGUAUCUUUACCUAGAAUGUGAUGCUUGAUUAAUUAUAUUGCAUGUUUUUAUUUAUUGUCAGACACCCUUUGCUAAUUAUGCAUCAUAUGGUAUAUGCUGCACUUAAGGAUUUCUUCAGUAUUGUUAUACUGUCAUCCCCAUCAGUUUGUUUAGCUUCCGAGAUCUCUUUCCAUAUAAAAUUACUGUUUGAAACUAAAAUUUACUUGCAUUUACUAGAGCAUUUCUUUCUUUCUUUAUGUUGGUUAAGGCUUGGUGAUUUCUUUAGAAAUCUCUUUUAUAAGUUCUCUGAUUUGAUAUAUAGUGCAGGUUGGUAUGGUGACACCUAUGUGCCUUCAUCUAACAUCCAAAGAUCUGCUAGAUAAGGUCAGUCCUGGAAGAUUUUAAACUCUACAAAACUGAAUAAUACAAAUCGAUAACUCUACUGGUCUUUUUAUUUAGUUGGUUAAUAUAUAUGUAGAUGCCUUUGGACAUUAGUAAAACCAAAUAUAAACACUCUUAGAACAAUGUUCUUUUGGAAACAAUAUUCUCUUAGUUCUGAAUGAUUUCGAUUCAUGGAGAAUUUUUAUUAGCAUAUGAAAUCAAGAAAUGGGAAGAAGAACGAGAAUCAAAGUAUUUUCAUUUGCAUUUGGUCUAGCAUGUAAUCUUAUUUUGAUUCAAUUGCGACUUAGUGUUGGUAUAUAAUGAAUUGUUUAUGAUGGAGUUUAUGCAACUAAGCUGACCAUGAAAUUCUUCUUUUAGUUUACAUAUAUAAUGACCAUAGAUUUACAUAUUUUAUGUUUUAUAUUUUAACAAUAAUUCUUAUAAUAUCUUGUGUAUCAUAUCUUAUCCAAUUCCAUGGUUUGAAGCAAAAAUGGAUUGGAUAUUUAUCAUAUUUUCUUCGAUUCAUACUCAAAAUAAUGCUUUUAGAUUAUCGCUGACGAUGAUAAUGGAUCAAAUGUCUUGGUAUAAAAUUAGAUAUCCAUGUCUACUUAUCGUUCUUAAUAUCAAGUAGGGAUUAUAAAGAGUUGAGAUUUUUUUUUUAUAUACUCGGGUCUAUCUGGAUUUAGGUUAUCUUUUAAUUAGGUCUAAAGACAUAAUGCCAUGUCAAAUUUGGGGUUUUAUUAAAAUUUAUCAUGUUGUUUUAUUAUUAUUAUUAUUAUUGCAAAUAUUAAAUGAUGAAGAUGGGAUUUGAGUUAGGACACCAGCUAAGCUUUAUUUGAACAUUUUUCUGUGGAUAUAUUAUUUAGUUCUUUUAAGAAACCAAAGCCAUGGAUUUUAUUAGCACCACUAUAUGAAACACAAUCAUGUAAAUAUGGUGCUACGAUGAGGAUGUGGUGGGGUUACAAAGGAAUCCGAGGGAUAGCACGCAGACAAAGCUCUGACCUUCUCCGGCAUGUCAAUAAGAAGGUCUCGCUCAUGUCCAACUCGAUAGGCUUUUGUUCAUCUCCUGUUGGGAGCUCCCAAUCGAAGUGGUAGAUAAGAGAGGCAAGGGAAGUCUCUAAGCUCGCCAGCCCAAAUGACAUCCCUGGGCACAUCCUCUUUCCUGCCCCGAAAUGGCCCACUCCAGUAUUGUUGCGGAUAUCUCGCUGCCCCCACCAAGUAGAUCCUUUAAAGUGUUCAUUGCAAAUUGAAACCAGAAGUUAGAUUCUCGAUAGGGCAUCCAUGAAAUUGCCACUGUCCUGCAAGAUUAGGGCUUCAAAGAAAGCAUAUCAGGAUAAUAGCUUUCAUGUACUCGUCUGCGAGGGGAAAUGACAGGCCACCUUCGUCUUGAACUCUCAGCAUGGCAUCGACCAAGUCCUCCUCUAGUUGCUCUACAGACUUCCUCUCUUUGUGCUCUUGAAUGAUGCUAUUCAGGAUUGCAUCUAUUUCCCGGUGUAAUCUCUGCAGUUUGGAAGACAUGCCACUGAGAACGUUAAUUAUCAGCCAUGCCGGGAAUAAAUCGGCCAAACUGAGAUCAUUAGGUCAUAUCUCAGUGAAACUACUUGAUAUUUUUUUAAUUUGUUGAGAGAAACACGAUACAAAGGAUCGAUUACUCCAUUUUGAUGCAAUAUUUGAUUAUGUAGAUCCAAUUUAAAUUUUGAAACUUCCAUUUGCAAUGUCAUUGUUCUUGGCCAAAGCACUACACUAUAGAUGUUAUCUUGUUUCCACUGUAUUAGUGUGACUGCUUUACUUUUCUAGAAAUAAAAUUUAGGCUCACAACCUACCACACAUUGAGAGCCGUGGAAAUUUUAAGCAGAUUGACGUGCUACACUUCGGUUUCAUGUAUUAUGGAGUGAUUUCUCACAAAAAGUCCAUCUAUUUAUAUUUUUUUAAAGGAAGUGCCUCCGAUUACUGUAAUUUCCGAAGAAUCCUUCAUUUUUACCUGAUGCUUGGUCUAAUUCUGAUUUGAUAACACGUUAUUAUCUUUUUUUUCUUCUCUUUCUCUUUAUUUUUCUAUGGAUCGAUCUAUAAAAUAAACUGAUCUAGUUAUAAUGUUUCUGGUAACACUAAAAAACAUUAUAAAAUAAUGUUUCUGGAUAAAUUUUGUAAAAAUAUUAUGUUUUUAUGCUAUGUUAUGAUAUUUUCAGUAUGCUAGGAAAAUAUUGUAAUGUAGUGUCAAAAAAAUUAUAACUGAAUUGAUUCAUCUUAUUGGAAACACAAGCCAGUGGUAAACUGCUUCGGACUCCUACUGAUGAUUACACAGAUGCCUUCCAAUUUUUUCCUUAAUGCUUAAUUAUAUACAACCUUUGAUCCUUAUCAAUAUAUAACAAUGCAUAUAAUUAUUAUGUAACACAUGAUUUAGAGCCCCCCUAAUGGGCCUCCCAUCCCAUCCCUUCAACAAAAAUAUUCGUAGAAAUUAAGAUGCGAAUAAAUUAUUACUGCCUUCCAUUUGGACAGCAUAGAGAAAUUUCCUCCCUUGAUAUAUAAGAUUAAUUAUAUAUUACUAAUUAAUUAUCUUUAGCAUUUCAAUCCUUAUGUUUUCAAAAGUUACAUUGAGAUCUUUAUACUCAUGAAAAUGAAACAUUUAAUCUCGUUGCUUCAAUAAAAUCUCUUUCUUUCUUAAUUUUUAAUUUUAUGAAAUUAUAUUUUAAUCCUGUAUAGGGGUCUCAAUAUUUUACUUUCGUAAAUAUAGGGAUCCUAAUGUAACUUUUGUAAGUGUAAGAAUCGAGAUAUUAAAAAUAAUUAAUUACAGGGGAUAAUAUGUAAUUAGUUUAUAUGGUAUAUUAUUUCUCAUCAAGCCUUCGAAAUGCUUUUGCUGAUAUUAAAAAUUGAAGAGAAAAUAUGUUACCCUUCAUUAAUGAUUGAAGGCCAUAAGGAUAUCAUGAUUUCAUGGCCUCAGAUGCAAUCACUCCUGGAGCACUAGGUUGAGCACUCAAAUCAUGCAACUAAAUGAUGCAUCACAAUGAAGUGGAUGAAAAUAUUUUUUUGUUUUCAUUUGUGAAAUUGCAUCUCCUAUUUGGAGGGAAAUUGACCGUCAAAGUGGAUAGAGAGGAUGAGUUCAAAUGUUAAACAGUUAAAGAGGAGAAGAAGAUUAGGGGGUUAGUCCUUUCCAUUACUCAACAUUAUUAAGCAUUCAACCUCCAUCUACUUCAAGAAACUACCAUCAAGUUCUAACUCUAUAAGGCAAUCACCAGCAAUGUCCUUUUCUUAUUGAGAGUGCGUUUGAGAUAUUUUCUAUGAAGACAAAAGAAGAGAAAAAAAAGCUGCUGCCCAACUCACAAAAGCUUUUAUCAGUUUAGAAGUAAUUUGUCAAACCUGGAUUAUGAGAAUAGCCCGACUAGGUUUGGAUUGUGAGAAUAACCGUCCUCCGCACCAAUCUUCAAGAGUGGAGAAGAAAGGUCAAGGAUGAGGAUCCUCGAUGCAGCGCUGGACCUCUUUAGCAAUGAGCAUCUUUAGCAUAUUAUCAAGAGACAACCUACAUAGGUAGAUUUAAAAUUUUAAUAAAUAGGAUAUGACAUAUAGCAGAUGUUGUAGAACUAUUGGAGCAAUAUCUUUUAUCAGCGAGCAUCUUUACCUUGUUAUCAAGAGAAGACCUAUCAUUCAUGACAAAAUUACUCUUAAGUAUGUUUUCUGGUAACACUUGUAUCAUUAUUAAAUAUGAUAGUUAGAAAUCCAUUUUUUGUCAACUCGACCUUGGUAGUUUCUCUUUGCGUAUCAUACAUAAUUAUGCAUAGAAUAAUAUCUAAAAGACAACUUCGAAGAUGAAGAUGAAGGAGAAAUUUUGUAUGACAUUCUUGUGCAUAUGCAAUUGUAAAUACACACAUAUGGAUAUAUGAAUGUGUGCAUUUAUAAUUUAUUCAAUGAUUGACAAGAAAUCCACUUUACCAUAUUUCGUUAAUAGCCAUGGAAUUUUCCUUUUUCAGUUAUUCAAGGAACAUCUUAUAUGCUAAUUCAAUGUGCCAAUUGCUUUAGCUUCAAGUACCCGAUGAAUCUUUGUCACUGCUUAUGGGAAUGGGUUACAAAGAAAAUGCAGCGAAAAGGGCGCUAAGAAUGACCGGUCAAGACGUUCAGCCAGCAGUUCAUUUCCUGGUUGAAGAGCUAGGAAAAUACUCAGGAAACAGGAGAAUAUUCAGCGACAAGGAGAGAUUUUGUAUAGCUCUAUACUUUGCCAGAGAAUGUUUUUAUCUUAUUUUUUAGUUAAUGAUUGUUGCUGAUUGUAUGAACUUGUAGAGAACAGAGGAGAUAUGGUACUAAUAAAUCAUGGCAUAUAGCAUAAUGUGACAGAUGUAAUGGCUUUGCUUCUGUGGAUUGUGAAACAUUAGAUUGUGUCAGGCACUUAUCAGAUUGCUCUCUGGUGUCUAGGAUCAAUACAUGUACACUACUAGUCAAUCUAUUUUGCAGUUUUGAUAGAGAUCUUGCUGCACAGGCUCUUAGGGUGAAUGAAAAUGAAGUUCAAAAAGCGUUAGAUCUUUUGACAAAUCCUGAGAGCCCUUCAGGUACUUGGUUUUCUUUAGAGUGUUUCUCUAUUAUCAUUUUCACUAACUAAUGACCUUUUGACUGCCAGAGUCGACUUGGAAGUUGGGAGUAUCGGAUUCUUCAGGUGCAGACGUUGAGGAAUUAGUAUCCAUGGGGUAUAACCGAUCAUCAGGUAUUUCAUCGCUUCAUUUAUUCCUCAGACAAUCAAGUGUUUCAUGCAUUUAUUUCAGACCAGGGUGCCCUUCUCGUGAUGACUCCCAGGCAUCUAAUGUUGCCCUAGUUAUCUGACCAUACUUAAUUUUUACAAACAAUAUAUUCUAUAUGCUUGACCAUAGAUCUCCAUUAGCUCCAGUUACACUGUCAAGUACUUGCGUUCGGAAUUAACUAUUCUUAACUGCAGUUGUGGACGCUGUGCAAAGGUCACUUACCAAGGAGGAUGUGUUGAAACUUCCUGUCGGAGCAAAUUCAGAGGAUAGCCAGCAUGCUACAAUCAACCAACCGAAAGAUGAUUAAGGGCCAUCAGCUGCUUUAGCUAAUGAUGAUAAAAUGGAUCUGGGAGGAGAACACAAAUAUGAGAGAGACGAAGCCAUGGAAUAUGAGCUUGCUCCUUUGGCAGACUACAACACGGAAGUAAUGAAAGGAGAGGCCACAACAAAGUGUUUGGCCAUUCUGGAUUCAAAAGCCAAUGCAACAUAGGAAAUAAGAUACAUCGGAAGAAUCCCAUAAAUAAGUAAGAUAGUGUAGUUUCCUUUUGUAUCCCCCAGCAUUAAUAUAUUAUUAUAGAAGAUACGACUGCGAUUUCUUUUUUUAAUUAGCCAUAAGUUUUAUUUUUUCUCUUUCUGUAAUCAUCAUUUCCAAAUGGGUUUUUAUGUAUUUCUGGCAAUGUGCACCCCGUCGCCGAGAGGUCAUAUAUGGUGUUUUACAUUUAAAAUAUCUUGCUUGAAGGGAAAAAGCCUGAUCUACUUUGGUUGGAAAAAGCCUGGCUAAAUUUACAUUCCACUUUGGUUGGAAGUGAAUUGUUUUGUUGACUUUUAGAAAUUUACACUCCACUUUGGUUGGAAGUGAAUAGAUUUAUCUACUUUUAAAUGGUUUCAAGCGUAAAGGCAUCUCUAUUUUCAUUCACAAAAUUAUCUAUAAACACUUGAUAAUUUUGUGGAAGGAAAUAGAGAUGUCAUUGUUUUAUGCCUUAAAAAAUGUAUAUAUCAUUUUCAAUAUGGGUGAUAGACACGUAGUUAAGAAAAGCUUUACUGAAUCACUAAUAAUCAAUCAAGCUGUAAAGCCUGAAACCCCAAACCCUUAACUAUUAUUAAGAGUUUGGUUUAGUUAGAUACUAAUAUCUAUAUUUAUUCAUAAUGUCUCAUAGUGGGGAUGAAAUUUUAUGGUAUCCAAGCUCUUUAUCGUAACACGCAUCCAUGGCAAUAAUAUUGAUUUGGUUUGAAAUUUUCAUCCAUAAUCGUUAAUAUUAUAAGCCUGCAAGUCCUAAUCAUAAUGAAGUACGCGUGCAACUGACAAGUACUCAAGAUAUUAUUUAUGCAGAUGCCUUCUAUUUGACCUUCCUAUUUGCAUAGGUUUAGUGCUAGGAAAAGUAUGUUUCAAUUUAUUUGCAUGCGUACGUUAACUUGGAGGUAGAAUUAGCUUCCUUUGUCAUAUACAUGACACUGCUUAAGUUUGUAUAUUGGAACUGGUUUAUAUGUAUAUGCAUACAUGCAAACACUCAAAGACACGGCCGGCCGUCUUCAGAGGCCAUCAGUUGUAUUAUUUCUUUGAGCAUGCGGUAAGAUGGAUGCGUACUCGUUGAAUAGUGUUUCUAGAUAGGGCACCCACGAGUUCUGGGUGCACAUCAGUGGACCAUCUGCGUGUAUCUCUGACGCGCAACAAUGAAUGGACGACUCUCGACCCACAAUUGAUGCAAGCACUGAUUGGUGUAUCCCAAAGAUUUGUAAGACAGUGACCAGGUUGACAAUGUAACGUAUACCAAAAUUUGCAAGACAGUGACGAGACAAUGGUCGACAAUGUCAUAGACGUCGGUCAUGUUCACAACUCCCUCUGUACAAAGCAAUCGUUCAUAUCCGUAUGUUUUUCUUACUUGUCUCUGUAUCAAAAAGCCAUAUGUUUUCUUACUUUUCUUAAUUGAUGGUUUCGGUUUCUUAAAAUUGAGAGCUGAAUUCGAAUUGAAUUGGAUCGGUUCUGAAAUCAAAGCCGAAAUUGGUGGUGCCGAUUCCGGUUCGAACGAUGAAGACGGGAAUCGAGUUAGGACACCGGCCAAGCUUUAUUUGAAUAUUUAUCUGUGGAUAUAUUAUCAUGUAAAGAUGGUGCUACAAUGAGGAUGUUGUGGGAUUACAAAGGAAUCCGAGGGAUUUAUUCAUGGAUAUAUUAUCAUAUAAAGAUGAUAUUACGAUGAGGAUGUGGUGGGUUUACAGAGGAAUCCGAGGGAUAGCACGCAGACAAAGCUCCGACCUCCUCUUGCAUGACAAUAAGAAAGUCUCGCUCAUGUCCAACUCGAUAUACUUCUGUUCAUCUCCUGUUGGGAGCUCCCAAUCGAAGUGGUAGAUAAGAGAGGCAAGGGUAGUCUCUAAGCUCGCCAACCCAAAUGACAUCCCCGGGCACAUCCUCCUUCCUGCUCCGAAAGGUAGGAACUGGAAGUUGGUUCCCUUGAAGUCGACCAUCGAGUUCCUCCCUUCGAAUCUCUCUGGCUCGAACUCAGUCGCGUUGUCCCAGUAUUGAGGAUCCCUUCCUAAGGCCCAAAUGUUCACGAACACUCUCGUCUUCUCUGGUAUCUGGUAACCAAGAACCUCACUCGCCUCCCGGCACUCUCGGGGGAGCAGCAGAGGAACCGGAGGGUGCAGCCUCAGAGUCUCCUUGAUUACCAGUCUCAAGUAGUUCAUUCCGUCGAUGUCUUCCUCUGUCACCUUUCCCUUUCCUCCGACAGUCUCCCUCACCUCCUCUUGCACCCUCCUCAUCACUCUUGGAUUCCUCAUCAGCUCCGACAUGGCCCACUCCAGUAUUGUUGCGGAAGUCUCGCUGCCCCCACCAAGUAGAUCCUUUAAAGUGUUCAUUGCAAAACGAAACCAGAAAUUAGAUUCUCGAUAGGGCAUCCAAGAAAUAGUCACUGUCCUGUAAGAUUAGGGCUUUAAAGAAAGCAUACCAGGAUAAUAGCUUUCACGUACUCGUCUGCGAGGGGAAAUGACAGGCCACCUUCGGCUUGAACUCUCAGCAUGACAUCAACCAAGUCCUCCUCUGGUUGCUCUACGGACUUCCUCUCUUUGUGCUCUUGAAUGAUGCUAUUCAAGAUUGCAUCUAUUUCCCGGUGUAAUCUCUGCAGUUUGGAAGACAUGCCACUGAGAACGUUAAUUAUCGGCCAUGCCGGGAAUAAGUCGGCCAAGCUGAAGCCUCCCGCUGCUUCCAGCGCUUCCGUUAUUAUCCGUAGGAACUCUUUCUGAUACUUGCACUUGCUCCCGAUGAUGGACCGCGCGGCUAUGUCAUUAGACAACAGAACAAAUUUUCUACUGAGGUUCACAGCGGAACCGGUGUUGGACAGCAGGAGAAUCGACUGCACAAGAUUAAGCACCUCCUCUUCCCGGAUAAAGCGAAAAGAUUGGACUCGUUUGACACUCAAUAGUUCCAGGAUGCUCAUCUUGCGCAGCUCUCUCCAACGGGAUCCAUACGAGGCAAAGCCGAUGCCCCUGUCACCGUACGUGAAGGACUGGAGAGUCAAGUUCGUGGGCCGAGAGGCGAAGCUGAUGUCGUGGGUCUUCAUGAUCUCAGCAGCCGCGUCGGGCGAGGAGACGACGAGGGUAGGGACCUCGCCAAGCUUUAGAAGCAUGACGGGGCCAAAUUUCUUAGACAAGG